AUUGAACGCUGGCGGCAGGCCUAACACAUGCAAGUCGAACGAGUGGCGGACGGGUGAGUAAUGUCUGGGAAACUGCCUGAUGGAGGGGGAUAACUACUGGAAACGGUAGCUAAUACCGCAUACCAUCAGAUGUGCCCAGAUGGGAUUAGCUAGUUGGUGGGGUAAUGGCUCACCAAGGCGACGAUCCCUAGCUGGUCUGAGAGGAUGACCAGCCCCAUGGGAACUGAGAACGGGCCCGGCCCCGACGGGAGGCAACAGUGGGGAAAUUUGGACAAUGGGGCCAAGCCUGAUGCAGCCAUGCCGCGUGUAUGAAGAAGGCCUUCGGGUUGUAAAGUACUUUCAGCGGGGAGGCGUUACCCGCAGAAGAAGCACCGGCUAACUCCGUGCCAGCAGCCGCGGUAAUAC
RNAcentral lists this ribosomal RNA (405 nucleotides) under uncultured bacterium. Its description in RNAcentral is "partial 16S ribosomal RNA". It matches the Rfam family "Bacterial small subunit ribosomal RNA", at positions 30 to 526 of the family's 1533-position model. The record is from RNAcentral.